This 73-nucleotide transfer RNA is filed under the name Diaphorina citri (Asian citrus psyllid). It matches the Rfam family "tRNA". From Rfam's summary of the family: Transfer RNA (tRNA) molecules are approximately 80 nucleotides in length. Their secondary structure includes four short double-helical elements and three loops (D, anti-codon, and T loops). The record is from Rfam by way of RNAcentral. Lineage: Eukaryota; Metazoa; Arthropoda; Insecta; Hemiptera; Psyllidae.
GCCUUGUUAGCUUGGUUGGUAGCGCGUCUGCCUUGUAAGCGCUAGGCCGCGGGUUCGAUUCCCGCUCGGGGCG